AUUAAUAUUUAGGGUAGGCAGCAGGAGCUUGGUAAGCUGGAGCAGUGUAGGCUGGAGCAGUGUAGGCUGGAGCGGUGUAGGCCGGAGCUUGGUAGGCUGGAGCUUGGUAGGCUGGAGCUUGGUAGGCUGGA
This is a long non-coding RNA of Daphnia pulicaria, 131 nucleotides long. RefSeq lists it as uncharacterized. The record is from RefSeq and is a predicted model, not a curated record. Lineage: Eukaryota; Metazoa; Arthropoda; Branchiopoda; Diplostraca; Daphniidae. The transcript is spliced from 2 exons.